AAACAUGGCUCUUUGCAUUUAUCUUAUAAAGAGUCAGGCCUGCCCAGUGAAUAAUAUUUAACGGCCGCGGUACUCUGACCGUGCAAAGGUAGCAUAAUCAUUUGCCUUAUAAUUGAAGGCUAGUAUGAAUGGUUUAACGAAAGCAAUACUGUCUCCUUUCUACUUUCAAGAACUUAACCUUUAGGUGAAGAGGCCCAAAUUUAAUUGAAGGACAAGAAGACCCUGUCGAGCUUAAAAGAUAUUAUAGAAGUUUAUAUAUUUUUAGAUAAAUUUCCUAUUAAAGCUUUUUAGUUGGGGCGACUAAGGAACAAAAAAAGCUUCUUAUAAUAAAUGAACAACCUGGUUUUGAUCCGAUAAUAAUCGAUUAAAGGAAUUAGUUACCGCAGGGAUAACAGCAUAAUCUCUCUUGAGAGACCUAAUCGAAAGAGGGGGUUGUGACCUCGAUGUUGGACUAGAAUAUCCUAAAGAUGCAGAAGUCUUUAAGGGUCGGUCUGUUCGACCGUUAAAAUUUUACGUGAU
This 519-nucleotide ribosomal RNA is filed under the name Pleurocera pyrenella. RNAcentral describes it as "partial 16S ribosomal RNA". It matches the Rfam family "Bacterial large subunit ribosomal RNA", at positions 1811 to 2604 of the family's 2925-position model. Lineage: Eukaryota; Metazoa; Mollusca; Gastropoda; Pleuroceridae. The record is from RNAcentral.